AAGCAUAUACAUUUGUGAGUUCCAUCAAUCGCUGGGAAUGACAAAAAGUGCUAGAAACAG
Molecule: non-coding RNA, 60 nt
Organism: Caenorhabditis elegans
Lineage: Eukaryota; Metazoa; Nematoda; Chromadorea; Rhabditida; Rhabditidae
Source: Ensembl